AUCCAUUUAAGGAAGGCAGCUCAUCCUGCAGCACCAGGUCUAUAUACAGUAACGAGUCCCUUCCCUCCUGCUCUCGGGGGAAUGUCGCCCUCCACAGACACCAGCGCGAGGAAGGAGCCCCUCCAGUUGUAGGUGAGUGCCUCCGACAGGUCCCUCAGGGCCCAGCUCUGGUAGUUACCUGGUGGAGCUUUAGCUGAGACCCACCUCCGAGGCACGGGCUAGCAGACGAGGUCAGAGCCAGGAAUUAAAUAUGGCAACUCGUAUUUAUUACAAUUAUGUACAGUCAUAUCUUAUAUUCUGAAAUCUAUACAUGAUCACAUAAAUGAACAUGUGUUUCUCAGUGGGAAGGUCAGACAUGGCUGUUGGUCAGGAAGGCCCUGCUGCCUGGCUCCACCAGGAGGGAGAAGCACGCCUCACCACCGAGGAGCUAAACCACGACACAGCAAGCGAGACGUCUUGUGUGAUACAGAGGACAGCAGGGCAGGUGGGGUGGGGACAGGUGCCCAAGAGCAGCAUCUGUCAGCCAGGACUUUGGAAGGCUGGGUCCUAGGAGGCCCGCAAGAUGAAGAGCAGGCCCAGGGCCCUGGCUUUUGGAACAGGCAAAGAAGAAGCCACAAGCCAGGCCAGGGCACAGUGGGAGAGACAGCAAGACCACAGGGGCCAUAGUUUCCCUGCACUGAGGUGACAGAGGCAGGAGAUGACAUGAGCUCUGGCCAUGCAUGGUGCCAGGUGGUCAAGAUACUCGGAGGAUACACCUUGACAAGACACCUGUCAGGGAGGGGGCGAGGCAGCAGGGGCGUUGAGUGCAGAGCUCCUGAGUUCUCUGCCUGGCUUGUGGACAGCCAGAGCCGCUGGGGCUGGCUGGGGCUGGCUGGGGCUGGGCCGUGUUUGGGAGGCUGGUGAACAGAAAUGCAGCCCACACUGCUGCGCUGAAGGGCAGCCCCACCCCUACCUGGGCUUCCGCCCAGUCGUGGAGGCAGAGCCGCAGCCCUUGCCCACCUGCCUCUGAUGUCCCGGGGCACUGGGAAGGCGGGCAGCCAAGUGCCAGCCCUAGUCUCGCUCAGUCUCAUUGCUGGCACCUUCCGGCCGCCGCAGCUUCUCUACCUGCUCAUUGAUCUGCCCAUCGCCGCCCCGUCGGUCCUCCCUCUGCACCCCAAGGACGUCCUCCUCAUCCACAUGGCUGACGUCAUCAUCCUCAUCGUCCUCAUCCUCCUUGUCCUCCCUCUUCUCCUCCUCACCCUGCACCUCCAUCCUCACCUGGCCCUUGACAUCUAGCACCCCUUCACCCUCUUCCUGGGGACCCAGCAGGUGGUAUGUGGCCGUGGAGCCCUCCGGGCUGUGGCUGUCCUUCCCAGGAGAGGAUGACGUAGACUCGUUGCUGACAGGGGAGAUGUCACUGCUGCUGUGGUGGUUGACAGCCGCAGGGCUGGAGGGUGAUGAAGACUUCACUGGGAUCUGCCAGGAGGGGAUCUUCGGGGCCGACGGGGAAGGAGGGAACUGUCUCCUAGCAGUGGACAAGGAAAAAGAAAAGCAGGUAGAGGUUGGUGACAGCACCUGGCUCCAGUGCCACACAUCCCCUUGGUCCCUGAUCCCUGAACACUCAAGCGAUGGCAGCAGUUUCUCCAGGGUCACGAGGCAGGGCCCACUGGAGGCCCCAUCAGCCAAGCUAGUGUGUCUACCAGAAGUGUUCAGUGCUGCCCGAUGCCCUAACGCAGCCUCGCCCACCCCAGGGCAGGACCUACCCACCUUGGCAACUGUUGGUCUGCCAGCAGGGGGCCCAACACGCUCUGGAGUUGCCCCACCCACAUUCAAUAUUGUCCCUACUCCUCUCCUGUGGCCAGAUGGGGACAAGGAGGCAAAAGAGGACCAAGGCUGGGAACCCGGGAGCCCCUGGCUAAUGUGCCCAUAAUCUCAGCCAAGGACAGCAGUGGGGAACCCUGGCUACUGUCAUUCAGACCUCUGAGCCCAAACUUUGACCAAGCAAAAGCCAGCUCUGCUGGGCCCUCAGCCAGCAGCCAGCCAGACUGAAGCCCAUUCCAGGACAGACCUGGGAAGUUGGGUCAACAUGGUCAUGGCUCAGAAGUGCAGCUCUAUAACAUGAAGUCCUGUUUCUGCAAAGGCCAAGAGGACAAGUCCUGUUCCUGCCCAGGGCUGUGCCACCUACCAGCACUGGUCACACAGUCAGCCUUCAACCCCAGAGCCCACCCGGUGGCACACGCACAUCCGGGCCUGCACCACACACACACAAGCAGCUCAGUUUGCGGUUUCCUUGGUUUCAGGGUCACCUGAUGGCCUGCAUCUGUCCCCUAACCACAGAGGCACCUGUCUUCUAGGUUUGGAAGGCCAAAGACUUCUAAGGACAGACAAUCUGCAUGCCCUGCCUGACUGGCCACAUCUGUUGUGGAGACACCCCCCCUCACCUUAGGAAGUGUGCCCCUCCAGCCUGGGCUCCUCAGAGCAUGCCGUACCCCAUCCUUGCUGCUCCCACAAAGCCCACCUUGGCUGUGGAGGCCUUGCCUCACAGCUUCUAAGCCCCUGGCCUAGCAGACACUCAUGCUUCCAGGUAGAGCCCGCUUGCGUGCACUCAGGCCGACUGGCUGCGCACUCCAGCUUUCUGGACAGAGGUUUCCAGGACACUCCGCUUUCAGCUUUAAAGUCUGCUUGCUCCUCAACCAGGUCAGCACUACGAACACUGUGCUGUCAUUCCAGGGAGCACCAGGAAGCUUCCGGGGAGGCAGAGCUGGUCUGCUGAUGCGGCUCUCACACCCUGUAGGCCUCAGUGUAAUGUUGUCUGAGACAAGGCUGCCUGGAAAGAGUGGCCACCUCCAGGUGCACUGUGACAGUAGGUGUCAUGUACCAGACAAUUCUCUGCCUGGAGGCCCUGUCUCUGCCCCACUGCUGACCUCUCAGACAAACAUUUUUUUCUUUUCCUUUUUUUAAUGCAAUACUAUGGAUGAUAUCUAUCCCCUUGGUGUGGGAGCGCUGGCUCCUUAGGAGGGGAGACAGGAGUGCCUAAGGUUCGCCUCAAGAUCUUCAUCUUCCAGCUCAGUGAGGGGUCCCGUCCCUCCCGGGAUUGUUGUGCCAGCCCACAAGACCCCUACACCACCAGGUUGACCUUCAAUAAGCGAGAGCUCUCAGCUUCCUUUCCUACCGAUUCAAAAGAAGUCCUUUCAAGGAGUUGAUUUCCGACUUGAGCUCAUUAAUAUUCUGGGACUCCAGGAUCCAGUUGGUUGAUGUGGUGGCCUAUAGGUCAGAAGACAGAUAACACAGGUCACAGUGGUGCCUGGUGCCAGCCUGUGUCUGGGGUCGGGGGAUUUAGAAGGGCCCUCGUUGGGGCAAUAGCUGCAAGCCGCUCUGUAUACACUCUGCAUUGUCACGCCUGCCUGUGACAAAACCCUACAACAACAGUCCCCAACCUCUGACUGCUGGUGGUGCUAAGAAGUCAUUCAGUGUUCUUUGGUGGCACUACAGCACCCAUGUGU
RNAcentral lists this long non-coding RNA (3482 nucleotides) under Mus musculus (house mouse). RNAcentral's name for it is "long non-coding RNA chr4:148960290-148963772". Lineage: Eukaryota; Metazoa; Chordata; Mammalia; Rodentia; Muridae. The record is from RNAcentral.